Molecule: ribosomal RNA, 894 nt
Filed under: uncultured bacterium
Lineage: Bacteria
Description: bacterial SSU rRNA
Rfam family: Bacterial small subunit ribosomal RNA
Source: RNAcentral
GUGCCAGCAGCCGCGGUAAUACGUAGGGUGCGAGCGUUGUCCGGAAUUACUGGGCGUAAAGAGCUCGUAGGUGGUUUGUCGCGUCGUCUGUGAAAUUCCGGGGCUUAACUCCGGGCGUGCAGGCGAUACGGGCAUAACUUGAGUGCUGUAGGGGAGACUGGAAUUCCUGGUGUAGCGGUGAAAUGCGCAGAUAUCAGGAGGAACACCAAUGGCGAAGGCAGGUCUCUGGGCAGUAACUGACGCUGAGGAGCGAAAGCAUGGGUAGCGAACAGGAUUAGAUACCCUGGUAGUCCAUGCCGUAAACGGUGGGCGCUAGGUGUGGGGGUCUUCUACGACUUCUGUGCCGUAGCUAACGCAUUAAGCGCCCCGCCUGGGGAGUACGGCCGCAAGGCUAAAACUCAAAGGAAUUGACGGGGGCCCGCACAAGCGGCGGAGCAUGUGGAUUAAUUCGAUGCAACGCGAAGAACCUUACCUGGGCUUGACAUAUGCCGGAUCGGCGCAGAGAUGCGUUUUCCCUUGUGGUCGGUAUACAGGUGGUGCAUGGUUGUCGUCAGCUCGUGUCGUGAGAUGUUGGGUUAAGUCCCGCAACGAGCGCAACCCUUGUCUUGUGUUGCCAGCACGUUAUGGUGGGGACUCGCGAGAGACUGCCGGGGUUAACUCGGAGGAAGGUGGGGAUGACGUCAAAUCAUCAUGCCCCUUAUGUCCAGGGCUUCACACAUGCUACAAUGGUCGGUACAGUGGGUUGCUACACCGUGAGGUGGUGCUAAUCCCUUAAAGCCGGUCUCAGUUCGGAUUGGAGUCUGCAACUCGACUCCAUGAAGUCGGAGUCGCUAGUAAUCGCAGAUCAGCAACGCUGCGGUGAAUACGUUCCCGGGCCUUGUACACACCGCCCGU